GACGAACGCUGGCGGCGUGCUUAACACAUGCAAGUCGAACGGAAAGGCCCUGCUUGCAGGGUACUCGAGUGGCGAACGGGUGAGUAACACGUGGGUGAUCUGCCCUGCACUUCGGGAUAAGCCUGGUAAACUGGGUCUAAUACCGGAUAGGAGCCAUUUUUAGUGUGAUGGUUGGAAAGUUUUUUCGGUGUAGGAUGAGCUCGCGGCCUAUCAGCUUGUUGGUGGGGUAAUGGCCUACCAAGGCGGCGACGGGUAGCCGGCCUGAGAGGGUGGACGGCCACAUUGGGACUGAGAGACGGCCCAGACGCCUACGGGAGGCAGAAGUGGGGAAUAUUGCACAAUGGGCGCCAGCCUGAUGCAGAGACGCCGCGUGGGGGAUGACGGCCUUCGGGUUGUAAACUCCUUUCGCUAGGGACGAAGCUUUUUGUGACGGUACCUAGAUAAGAAGCACCGGCUAACUACGUG
Molecule: ribosomal RNA, 465 nt
Filed under: uncultured bacterium
Lineage: Bacteria
Description: partial 16S ribosomal RNA
Rfam family: Bacterial small subunit ribosomal RNA
Source: RNAcentral